UUCCGAUGUAGGAUAGGCAACGCCCACAACACGGGUGUACGGCAGACCUGCCUAGCCCGCUGGACAUUCUUGGGGAUGAGACCCGCAUUCCUCUGCAAGGCGAUACGAGCACAGCCUUUGCCUUUCCAGUGUACUUCAGAGCUGGGACAGCGACGUGCUCUAUCUUCGAAGUCAGCCUGUGCGCAGCACCGUGCGUAAGCAGCGGAGAAGGGAAUGGGAAGUACUGCUGGCGAGCGUCGUCGCUCAACAAGCAAACGGAGAUUGCAGAGAUCCGCAGUGUCGUUCGCGUACGUGUGUGGGUGUUGUACUGUGUACCACGACGAGCGGGAUGCCAUCGAGCGUGAGAUACCCACUUGGGGGUUCGCCGUGCUGAUCAUUGAUCAUGCUUCAUAGAAAAUAAUUCGUACCUAAAAUCUAGCAGUUGCAUUCCUCCACGUGCAUUCCCGUACGCUUCCGGUCUGGUCAUAUUGUGGCAACGCGGUGAAAACCCAGGGACAGUCGAAGGACACCUCAGGGACUUCAGACAUCAUAAGUAUCACAGAAUUUCGUGAGGAUUACCACAAGGAUGUAAGGACAGCAGAGGGACUACAAAAUCCGGAGGGACUGACGGGGAUCGGCGAAGGACAAUCCCUCUGUGUCCCCCUGUCCAUCAGGGGUGGUACCUACUAGGUCCCGCGCAUGGCCUGUUCUCGACAUUACAUCAUUAAAAUGACGUCACUCGUGCAAAAAUGAUGACUUUACAAGCCACAACUUUGAUGUACGUAGCAACAGAGCUCGCGCCUGCCCCACCCAGAAAUGCUAUGUCUCAUAGACGUCCAACGGGACCAUUUAGACGUCUAUUGUCUACUGGUCCCCUUAGACGUCUUAAUGGUCACCUUAGACCUGGCAGUUGUAGGUGGGUGGGUGGGCGGUCAUCUGCGCCGGGGCUCCGUUACGUACAACGUAACGACGAUAUUAAAUUUUUGUGGACUUCCCCGUUCUUAUUCGGGAGGGCGCAGAACGCCGCUAGAAAGCCCUUGCCUAACUUUUGCCCUCACAAUAACUUGGCGACGGAAAAUUCGAAGUUACGUUGGAAUAUUAAGAAGUUAUUUCAGUGUCAGUAGACGCCCAUGAC
Molecule: RNA transcript, 1114 nt
Organism: Frankliniella occidentalis (western flower thrips)
Lineage: Eukaryota; Metazoa; Arthropoda; Insecta; Thysanoptera; Thripidae
Exons: 2
Source: RefSeq, a predicted model, not a curated record